CGCAUGACUAGAGGCGGGAGAGGUGGAUGGUACUCCAUGGGUAGGGGUAAAAUCCUUUGAUCCAUGGAAGACCACCAGUGGCGAAGCGGUCCGCAGAACGCGCUCGACGGUGAGGGAUGAAAGCUGGGGGAGCGAACCGGAUUAGAUACCCGGGUAGUCCCAGCUGUAAACGAUGCGAGCUAGUGGUGGAGUGGCCGUGUGCUAUUCCAAUGCCGCAGGGAAGCCGUUAAGCUCGCCGCCUGGGGAGUACGGCCGCAAGGCUGAAACUUAAAGGAAUUGGCGGGGGAGCACCACAAGGGGUGAAGCCUGCGGUUUAAUUGGAGUCAACGCCGGGAACCUUACCCAGGGAGACAGCAGAAUGAAGGUCAGGUCAAAGACCUUACCAGACAAGCUGAGAGGAGGUGCAUGGCCGUCGCCAGCUCGUGCCGUGAGGCGUCCUGUUAAGUCAGGCAACGAGCGAGAUCCCUACCGCUAGUUGCUACUCCCAUCCGAAAGGAUCGAGAAGCUAGUUAGUGGGACUGCUGCCGCUAAGCGGAGGAAGGAAGGGGCCACGGCAGGUCAGUAUGCCCCGAAACCCUGGGGCCACACGCGGGCUGCAAUGGUAGGAACAGCGGGCUCCGACUCGAAAGGGGGAGGCAAUCCCCAAACCUACCCCAGUUGUGAUUGAGGGCUGCAACCCGCCUCAUGAAU
RNAcentral lists this ribosomal RNA (690 nucleotides) under uncultured archaeon. RNAcentral's name for it is "bacterial SSU rRNA". It matches the Rfam family "Archaeal small subunit ribosomal RNA", at positions 585 to 1281 of the family's 1478-position model. The record is from RNAcentral.